RNAcentral lists this ribosomal RNA (301 nucleotides) under uncultured bacterium. RNAcentral's name for it is "partial 16S ribosomal RNA". It matches the Rfam family "Bacterial small subunit ribosomal RNA", at positions 509 to 807 of the family's 1533-position model. The record is from RNAcentral.
CAGCCGCCGCGGGAAUACGAAGGGGGCUAGCGUUGCUCGGAAUCACUGGGCGUAAAGGGUGCGUAGGCGGGUUUUUAAGUCAGAGGUGAAAUCCUGGAGCUCAACUCCAGAACUGCCUUUGAUACUGAAAGUCUUGAGUAUGGGAGAGGUGAGUGGAACUGCGAGUGUAGAGGUGAAAUUCGUAGAUAUUCGCAAGAACACCAGUGGCGAAGGCGGCUCACUGGCCCAUAACUGACGCUGAGGCACGAAAGCGUGGGGAGCAAACAGGAUUAGAUACCCCGGUAGUCCCUGUCUCUUAUAC